ACUCUGUGUGUGUGUGUGUGUGUGUGUGUGUGUGUACACACACACACACACACACACACACACAUCAUAUGUAU
Molecule: non-coding RNA, 74 nt
Organism: Podarcis lilfordi (Lilford's wall lizard)
Lineage: Eukaryota; Metazoa; Chordata; Lepidosauria; Squamata; Lacertidae
Source: the annotation of a GenBank genome assembly